Molecule: ribosomal RNA, 459 nt
Filed under: uncultured bacterium
Lineage: Bacteria
Description: partial 16S ribosomal RNA
Rfam family: Bacterial small subunit ribosomal RNA
Source: RNAcentral
CCUACGGGUGGCAGCAGUGAGGAAUAUUGGUCAAUGGGCGGGAGCCUGAACCAGCCAAGCCGCGUGAGGGAAGAAGGUACAGCGUAUCGUAAACCUCUUUUGUCAGGGAACAAAGGCGGGGACUAGUCCCCGGAUGAGGGUACCUGACGAAAAAGCAUCGGCUAACUCCGUGCCAGCAGCCGCGGUAAUACGGAGGAUGCGAGCGGUAUCCGGAUUUAUUGGGUUAAACGGGUUCGCGGGCGGCCUGUUAAGUCAGCGGGAAAAGCCCGGGGCUAAACCCCGGCGAGCCGUUGAAACUGGCGGGCUGGAGUUGGAGAGAAGUACGCGGAAUGCGCGGUGUAGCGGUGAAAUGCUUAGAGAUCGCGCAGAACCCCGAUUGCGAAGGCAGCGUACCGGCUCCACACUGACGCUGAGGCACGAAAGCGUGGGUAUCGAACAGGAUUAGAUACCCCUGUAGUC